CAUGGCUGUGCUCUGUAAGUGAAAAACAGGUUACAGUUAGGGAAUCCCUUAUAGCUAUCCAGUUUUAUAAGCAGCAGGUGAUAGAACAUCCAUUAGCCUAUAACCGCACGAGACUUGACUUGGACUCUUGCUCAGAGACUUGACUUGGACUCGAGCAUCUCUGAUUGGUGCACUCAGACAUGACUAUCUAGGCUAAGGUAAGCUAUGUAAUGUUUAACACAAUGUACAUGAUAUCCAGCAAAACUGCUUUUCUCUAUGUACAGCAUGGUGGCCAGAGAGCUUUGGAAGCAUCUUCACCCUGCCAGAUGUCUCUUGGUCUGGCUUGCUUCUCCCCUUCUUUGCCCCUCCCUGUGACUGUGGCGGCAGCAGCAUGGGGAACGUCAGCAGCAGGAAGCUGGUCAACAUGAUGGAGGACCUGCACCAGCUUUACCUCCAGCACUCUGGCCUGAAGAUCCUCUUUUUGUCUGUGACCCAGAGUGUUGGUGGAAUGCUGGUGCCAGUCAAUGAACAGUGUUAUGGCUCUAUUUGUUUUAGCUUAAAUGAUGCCAUGAUUGAGAACCUUGCAUCAGACAUGGCAGUCCUGGGUUAUAUUAAAAUGUGUGUGUGUGUGUGUGUGUGUAUGUAUAUAUAUAUGUAUAUAUAUAGUUAAUUUCACAACUAGGGCAAAUUAUGUUUUAAGUACAGUAGCUAAUUGUAUUGAAUUUGGCCUUUAGGACCCAUUUUCUUGUGCCUAAACAUAGCUGACCGUCAUGGCUAAUGUUGUUUAUUUAUGCUGCACCCCAAGGACCCCUAAGUACUCUGGACCUAUGCGGGACAUACAGUAGCUGUUACCACUUGCACAGGCCCAGUUUGUUUAUUUGAAUAAAUGUGUUUACUAUAUGUCCACAUUUGUGAACAUUUAAAAGACCCCACAUGGUUUACAUUGCAAUAAAAUUGAUUUAUAUA
Molecule: long non-coding RNA, 945 nt
Organism: Micropterus salmoides (largemouth bass)
Lineage: Eukaryota; Metazoa; Chordata; Actinopteri; Centrarchiformes; Centrarchidae
Exons: 2
Source: RefSeq, a predicted model, not a curated record